GAUGAACGCUGGCGGCGUGCCUAAUACAUGCAAGUCGAGCGAAUGGAUUAAGAGCUUGCUCUUAUGAAGUUAGCGGCGGACGGGUGAGUAACACGUGGGUAACCUGCCCAUAAGACUGGGAUAACUCCGGGAAACCGGGGCUAAUACCGGAUAACAUUUUGAACCGCAUGGUUCGAAAUUGAAAGGCGGCUUCGGCUGUCACUUAUGGAUGGACCCGCGUCGCAUUAGCUAGUUGGUGAGGUAACGGCUCACCAAGGCAACGAUGCGUAGCCGACCUGGGAGGGUGAUCGGCCACACUGGGACUGAGACACGGCCCAGACUCCUACGGGAGGCAGCAGUAGGGAAUCUUCCGCAAUGGACGAAAGUCUGACGGAGCAACGCCGCGUGAGUGAUGAAGGCUUUCGGGUCGUAAAACUCUGUUGUUAGGGAAGAACAAGUGCUAGUUGAAUAAGCUGGCACCUUGACGGUACCUAACCAGAAAGCCACGGCUAACUACGUGCCAGCCGCCGCCGUAA
This 515-nucleotide ribosomal RNA is filed under the name uncultured bacterium. RNAcentral's name for it is "partial 16S ribosomal RNA". It matches the Rfam family "Bacterial small subunit ribosomal RNA", at positions 28 to 523 of the family's 1533-position model. The record is from RNAcentral.